GUUUGAUCCUGGCUCAGGACGAACGCUGGCGGCGUGCUUAACACAUGCAAGUCGAACGGUGAACUCCGCUUGCGGGGGGAUCAGUGGCGAACGGGUGAGUAACACGUGAGUAACCUGCCCUUGACUCUGGGAUAAGCCUGGGAAACCGGGUCUAAUACUGGAUACGACCUUCUGGCGCAUGCCAUGUUGGUGGAAAGCUUUUGUGGUUUUGGAUGGACUCGCGGCCUAUCAGCUUGUUGGUGGGGUAAUGGCCUACCAAGGCGACGACGGGUAGCCGGCCUGAGAGGGUGACCGGCCACACUGGGACUGAGACACGGCCCAGACUCCUACGGGAGGCAGCAGUGGGGAAUAUUGCACAAUGGGCGCAAGCCUGAUGCAGC
This 380-nucleotide ribosomal RNA is filed under the name Scrippsiella hangoei. RNAcentral describes it as "partial Bacterial small subunit ribosomal RNA". It matches the Rfam family "Bacterial small subunit ribosomal RNA", at positions 11 to 392 of the family's 1533-position model. The record is from RNAcentral. Lineage: Eukaryota; Dinophyceae; Peridiniales; Peridiniaceae.